GCGGAGGGAUCAUUACUGAGUUGAAAAACUCCAACCCCUGUGAACCUUACCUUCUUGUUGCUUCGGCGGCGUGAGCCCCCUGGGGGUCCCGUCGCCGGAGGUUUCAAACUCUGAAUUUUUAGUGUAUCUCUGAGCCUAAAAACAAUAAUCAAAACUUUCAACAACGGAUCUCUUGGUUCUGGCAUCGAUGAAGAACGCAGCGAAAUGCGAUAAGUAAUGUGAAUUGCAGAAUUCAGUGAAUCAUCGAAUCUUUGAACGCACAUUGCGCCCGCCGGUAUUCCGGCGGGCAUGCCUGUUCGAGCGUCAUUUCACCACUCAAGCACAGCUUGGUGUUGGGGCACCCGGCCGCCUAGCGGUUUGGGGCCCCCAAGUCCAUCGGCGGGCUCGUCGGGACCCUGAACGCAGUAACACGCGGUAAAACGCGCCCUCGUUCGGUGGAUCCAGGCGCGUUCUAGCCGCUAAAACCCCUAAUUUUCUUAGGUUGACCUCGGAUCAGGUAGGAAUAC
Molecule: ribosomal RNA, 506 nt
Filed under: fungal sp.
Lineage: Eukaryota; Fungi
Description: eukaryotic LSU rRNA
Rfam family: 5.8S ribosomal RNA (bases 153-306)
Source: RNAcentral